GGGGGGGGGGGGGGGGGGGGGGGGGGGGGGGGGGGCGGGGGGGGGGGCGCGGGGGUGGGGGGGGGCGCGGGUGGCGGGCGGGGGAGGAACUCGUGGGGAACGGGCCGUGGACGGUGGGGGACCUUGAGGACACUGGGGCUAAUCCCGGGUAGGGGCUCCGGCUGCUGGGGGGGGGGUGGAAAGUUUCGGCUGUUGGGGAGGGCCUCGCGCGUUAUCAGCUGUGUGGUGGGGUAGUGGCUUACCAAGGCUUUGACGGGUCGCCGGCCUGAGAGGGUGACCGGCCACAGUGGGACUGAGAUACGGCCCAGACUCCUACGGGAGGCAGCAGUGGGGAAUAUUGCACAAUGGGCGGAAGCCUGAUGCAGCAACGCCGCGUGCGGGAUGACGGCCUUCGGGUUGUAAACCGCUUUCGCCUGUGACGAAGCGUGAGUGACGGUAAUGGGUAAAGAAGCACCGGCUAACUACGUG
This 468-nucleotide ribosomal RNA is filed under the name uncultured bacterium. Its description in RNAcentral is "partial 16S ribosomal RNA". The stretch from base 55 to 468 matches the Rfam family "Bacterial small subunit ribosomal RNA", at positions 39 to 507 of the family's 1533-position model. The record is from RNAcentral.